AUAUCAACCACUAUAUCAUCUUGUAGUAUUCAAUUUGAGCAUGUUAUAUUACUUAUUGGACGUGAAUUAAUAAUACUAUAAAAUCGUCACAACUAGUGGCAUUUAAUAUUUUUGUAUUGCAACAACAAUAAUAUGAACUACAUUUAUUUGCCGUGUUGAUGAUUAUCUUUCACUGGUGCAGAUCUUAUAUGUUAUUAGACCUAGCAUUCAUGUCUUGUUUCUCGUAUUCGUGUCGUUUUCGUGUCAUACCCGAUAACUUAAUGAGUCGUGUCGUUUAAUACCUGUUAAAGUAAACGGGUAAAAUGACCCGACCCAAAAUUAACCCGUUAAUAUUAUCAGGUAAUAUGACUCGACCCGUUAUUCGUUAAGAAAAAUAUAUUUUAAAUCAAUAAAAAUGAAAAUGAACAUAAUUUGACCAAAAAAAUGUAAAACAUAAUACUAAAUUAGUAUAUACAUACUAAAUUUCAGAGUUGACCCCUUCGUGAAAGUUAUAAAGCUUUUUAUUACGAGUGAUUACAUUUUUCACACUUCUACAAUAAUUAUGAUUAAUUUUAUUAAUUUUGCACUCAAAUAAAAAACAUUGUUCAUGAGUUUUGGAGGGUUUUAAAAAUCUAAACGACCAUGUAACCAUCGUCUAAGCGUUAAGGAUGCAAUUAUGAAUGUUUAUUAUGCUUUCACAUCUUUCAGACUUAUACAUUAAUGAUUAUGAAUUUUGUUUAUUUUGAACCCCCUUAAAAAUACUAUUCAUGAGAGUUUGUAUGGUUUUAAAAAUUCACACGAUCAUAUACCCAUCCUCAAAGCGUAGAGGAUCAACUACAAGCGUUUGCAUAUUUUUGGCACAUGUAAAUUUGUUGGUACCAUAUAUUGGGCCUCGUCUUUGGGCUUCAUCCCUAAGCCCAUGAUUUAUGUAAAAGGGAGGGAGCCCUUAUUUUAUAAAAGGGACUCUCCCUCACCCUCAUUAAGAGAGCCUGACAUCCAGAGAAAUAGAGUCUGAUCCCUCACAACAAUAGAGGGCAAUACCCUCUCAGCCAAACAGAAAGCAAAAUGGCAAGGGUUGCAGAGAGCUCCCUUGCCGAUCUAUUGUAAUCUAUACAUACAUACAGUGAAUCAGAAUCAACAUCAGUGUAGACGUAGCUUAAACAUUGGAAUGAACCACGAUACAUCUUUGUGUUCU
RNAcentral lists this long non-coding RNA (1174 nucleotides) under Malus domestica (apple). RNAcentral's name for it is "long non-coding RNA (MDOM_LNC009447)". The record is from RNAcentral. Lineage: Eukaryota; Viridiplantae; Streptophyta; Magnoliopsida; Rosales; Rosaceae.